Microcebus murinus (gray mouse lemur) is the source of this 2850-nucleotide non-coding RNA. The record is from RefSeq and is a predicted model, not a curated record. Lineage: Eukaryota; Metazoa; Chordata; Mammalia; Primates; Cheirogaleidae.
UCUUCCUGACUGACUCUGGACUGAAGCUUCAGGUGCUCAUAUGGUUACCUGUCCACCAAGCUGAAGGGGGCCAUCCAGUUUGUGAUUCAGUAUGACAAGAUGUUAACCCAAGCCGGCUCUCCUGCCAGCCUGCACACCUUCAGUCUACUCCAAACAGUCAACUGCUAUGCACUUGGGGAAAACAAACAAAGUUGAUUGUUGUCUUUGGCAAAGCCUAAGAAAGGCAGCAACUAUGUUGCAAAAUAAAGCAUACAGUGUAUCCCAAAGCCAAUGUGAUUAAAAAGAAAAAAGUAACCAUCGUUGACUAUUCUGUUACUAUAAUAAUAAACCCUCCAGCUGGUCAAAUUAUCCACUUACAUAUGGACAUCAGGAUGUUUCCAAUGUUAUUUCUUUUUGAGAACAGACAUUUCACCUCCAGGGUAACAGCGUUUGUUGCAGAACUUGGCAAGGAAAUCUAUACUCUCUUGGGGGAAAAGUCCUGUAUUUAACUUUAACCAGUGAUGGGUGUUUCUAAAAUGAGUUUAACCCCGUGUCCUAGUGUGUUCUGCAGGAUAACUGCUCGUUGGUACCCUGUGCUUUUUCUCUAAAAGCCACCUGGCUGCUGCCACAGCUCCCAGAAGGCUGCCUUUGCUCCUGGCUCGCUUUCCCUUUAAGCAUUUUGAGUGUUUCGGCUGGUGAAGUUCCAAGUGCCCUCUGGACUAAUUGGCACAAUGUGAGAAUUUUCCCAUUUAGAAGAGAAGGAGCCUGUUCUCCCAGGAAGGCUCUUCAAGAUAAUUGCUCACUACCUUUGGCAACCUUCAGAAACAACUACAACAAAAAUCCCUCUUGCUGUUAGGAGGAGCUAGAAACCCACUGAAGGGAAAAUGGGUGUUCAGGACUGGACUGGCCGAGACCUUUGAAACCAGUGACCUUUGGAAACAGGAAGUGGGGGAGGGCCAGUGGCGGCAAAGGCAGCCGAACUUUCCCUCCUGAGAUAAGCACAGCAGCUCCAGCCCUAACGUCUGUAACAGACGUUUUCAUUAUCUUCCUUUUCCUAAAGAGCUUCAGCAAAGGGACAUUGGCCCAGGAAGGCCCUUGCAGGGAGAGAACAGCACUUACUUGGAAGAAAUAUUUUACCAAAACACCUGGCUGGGAGGGGGGCACCCAAGAGUGUGCUGGCUAAGAAAAGAUGGGUGGUUCCCCAGAGCAGGGCUCCCAGAGGAGGUGGUGUGUCCAGGGGCACAGUGAGAAAAAAAAAUGAAGAAGAACAAGACAUGGAGAAGAGAAGAGUCCCUUUUGGGUCACCACCUCCACUUUGGACACUGAGGAAGUGCUGAGUCCUGUGGACUAUUGAUGUUGGGUGGAAAAUAAGAGGGAACAGGACUGGACACUGAAGGUAGCAAAGCCCCCCGGCAGGAUUGUGGCACUCUUGUUCCCCUGCGUGUUCACAUCACCACCCAGAACGACUUCAGGUUUCAGAGCUAAAUAGACCUGGUUCCAAUCCCAGCUCUGCCCCUGCCUGCCUGUGUCGCUGUGGGAGAAUCGCUCAGCCUGUCUGUGAGAGAGGUGAAGGACUCCUGGGCAGUGGGACUGUUGGGAGGUGAAGUGACAUGGAAAGUGGCUGGCCAUGUCCUGUCCAUCUGGCUUCUCCAUGUGACGAUCCGGUGGCUGCCCGAGUCUCCUAGGAACCCCAGGCUCUUCCUACACUUGGCUGAGUUCGUCUGGAUUAAAUGAACACGGUGGGAGUCGCUCCCUCUGUGUUCUCUGGGAAACCACUCGGCCUCCCCUUGGCAUCUUGCUGCGCAGGUUGGCUGAACCCUGACAGGAGCCACGCUUUGCCGGGUCAGCAAUGGGUUGUUUUGAGACCUGCUGGGAAACCUAAAGUAGCCAAGAUGGAGUCAAACUCACUGACUCUGAACCACACGUUUCUCCGUUUCCUCCGGUGUUGGGCUGGUCUCCAUUUUAGCAGCUCCUCCCCAACCUCCCCCUCUUCCCAAAGGCUUUUGUCGCUGAAGGCCACCAUUCGUCCUGUUUACUCCUCCCAGGAUGCCAAGCCCCACCAUAGACCUCCAGGAGGCCCAGUCACCAUCACACUCCCCUCUCAUCCGCAAGACAGACGUGAGCAGCUGUGGCCAGGAGGAGAUGCGACGAAAGUGCAGAUGAGAUUCACGCAAACUCCACUGCCACAGGAGAGUCUAAGGAGGAGGGAGGACAACAGGCUCACUGCUGCAGUGACAAUAGGAUCUCACUCUGUUACCCAGGCUAGAGUGCAGUGGCAUGAUCAUAGCUCCCUGCAGCUUCGAAUUCCCAGGCUCAACAUAUCCUCCUGCCUCAGCCUCGAGAGUGGCUGGGAGUAUGGGCACCUGCCACCACACAUGGCUAAUUUUUACAUUUUUUGUAGAGAUGGGGUCUCACUGUGUUGCCCAGGCUGGUCUAAAACUCCUGGCCUCAAUCAAUUCUCCUGCCUCAGCCUCCCAAAGUGCAGCCACCUCUUAACCAUGAUAUUAUAAGCACAAAAUGGAACCACAUAUAUGAAAUUACCUUAAAAACUCUAAAGUGCUCUAAAAAUAUAGAGCACAUGUUCUAUUGACAGUGAAUAGUGGCAUUAUACUUUUUUAAAUCACUGUAAUUUUUUAGAGCCAUUUUACCCAUUGCCUCUGAAAAAAAUCUCUCCCCUUGGAUGUCUCAGAGGCACCACAAACUCAAUAUUUCUAAAAAUAAAAGUUUAACUAUUUUUUUCCUACCAUGCUCUCCAAUCUGCGUCUUUUCUUUUGACCUACAUUGUAGCAAAUGGCUCUGCUCAGGCGUCCAAGUCACAAACCUGGGGAUCUCCUCGGAUGUCCCCUCCCCUCACCCCUGCAUUCGAUCAAU